GAUGAACGCUGGCGGCGUGCCUAAUACAUGCAAGUCGAGCGAACAGAUGAGAAGCUUGCUUCUCUGAUGUUAGCGGCGGGCGGGUGAGUAACACGUGGGUAACCUACCUAUAAGACUGGGAUAACUCCGGGAAAACGGGGCUAAUACCGGAUAAUAUUUUGAACCGCAUGGUUCAAUAGUGAAAGACGGUUUCGGCUGUCACUUAUAGAUGGACCCGCGCCGUAUUAGCUAGUUGGUAAGGUAACGGCUUACGAAGGCGACGAUACGUAGCCGACCUGAGAGGGUGAUCGGCCACACUGGAACUGAGACACGGUCCAGACUCCUACGGGAGGCAGCAGUAGGGAAUCUUCCGCAAUGGGCGAAAGCCUGACGGAGCAACGCCGCGUGAGUGAUGAAGGUCUUCGGAUCGUAAAACUCUGUUGUUAGGGAAGAACAAAUUUGUUAGUAACUGAACAAGUCUUGACGGUACCUAACCAGAAAGCCACGGCUAACUACGUGCCAGCCGCCGCAGUAA
Molecule: ribosomal RNA, 514 nt
Filed under: uncultured bacterium
Lineage: Bacteria
Description: partial 16S ribosomal RNA
Rfam family: Bacterial small subunit ribosomal RNA
Source: RNAcentral